Molecule: ribosomal RNA, 460 nt
Filed under: uncultured bacterium
Lineage: Bacteria
Description: partial 16S ribosomal RNA
Rfam family: Bacterial small subunit ribosomal RNA
Source: RNAcentral
CCUACGGGAGGCAGCAGUGAGGAAUAUUGGUCAAUGGGCGGGAGCCUGAACCAGCCAAGUCGCGUGAGGGAAGACGGUCCUAUGGAUUGUAAACCUCUUUAGGCGGGGAGCAAUGCCGGGCACGUGUGCCCGGAGGGAGAGUACCCGCAGCAUAAGCAUCGGCUAACUCCGUGCCAGCAGCCGCGGUAAUACGGAGGAUGCGAGCGGUAUCCGGAUUGAUUGGGUUAAAGGGGUGCGUAGGCGGAUUCUAAAGUCAGCGGUAAAAUGACCGGGCUCAACCCGGGCCGGCCGUUGAAACUGGGGAUCUUGAGUGGGCGAGAAGUAUGCGGAAUGCGUGGUGUAGCGGUGAAAUGCAUAGAUAUCACGCAGAACUCCGAUUGCGAAGGCAGCAUACCGGCGCCCGACUGACGCUGAGGCACGAAAGCGUGGGGAUCGAACAGGAUUAGAUACCCCAGUAGUC